CAUAACGACUCUCGGCAACGGAUAUCUCGGCUCUCGCAUCGAUGAAGAACGUAGCAAAAUGCGAUACGUGGUGUGAAUUGCAGGAUCCCGUGAACCAUCGAGUUUUUGAACGCAAGUUGCGCCCGAAUCCUUUAGGACGAGGGCACGUCUGCCUGGGCGUCACGC
Molecule: ribosomal RNA, 165 nt
Filed under: Urtica membranacea
Lineage: Eukaryota; Viridiplantae; Streptophyta; Magnoliopsida; Rosales; Urticaceae
Description: 5.8S ribosomal RNA
Rfam family: 5.8S ribosomal RNA
About the family: 5.8S ribosomal RNA (5.8S rRNA) is a component of the large subunit of the eukaryotic ribosome. It is transcribed by RNA polymerase I as part of the 45S precursor that also contains 18S and 28S rRNA.
Source: RNAcentral